GUGGGGAAUCUUCCGCAAUGGACGAAAGUCUGACGGAGCAACGCCGCGUGAGUGAAGAAGGUUUUCGGAUCGUAAAGCUCUUUCGUUAGGGACGAACGUGCUCUUUGUGAAUAAUGAGGAGUAAUGACGGUACCUAAAUAAGAAGCCACGGCUAACUAUGUGCCAGCAGCCGCGGUAAUACGUAGGUGGCAAGCGUUGUCCGGAAUUAUUGGGCGUAAAGCGCGCGCAGGCGGGAUAUCAAGUCUGUCUUAAAAGUGCGAGGCUCAACCUCGUGAGGGGACAGAAACUGGUAUUCUUGAGUGUCGGAGAGGAAAGUGGAAUUCCAAGUGUAGCGGUGAAAUGCGUAGAGAUUUGGAAGAACACCAGUGGCGAAGGCGACUUUCUGGACGAUGUCUGACGCUGAGGCGCGAAAGCUAGGGGAGCGAACGGGAUUAGAUACCCUUGUAGUCC
Molecule: ribosomal RNA, 450 nt
Filed under: uncultured bacterium
Lineage: Bacteria
Description: partial 16S ribosomal RNA
Rfam family: Bacterial small subunit ribosomal RNA
Source: RNAcentral